AGCAGUAGCCGCGGUAAUACGUAGGGGGCAAGCGUUAUCCGGAAUUACUGGGUGUAAAGGGAGCGUAGACGGUUAAACAAGUCUGAAGUGAAAUGCCGGGGCUCAACCCCGGAGCUGCUUUGGGAACUGUAGAACUGGAGUGUCGGAGGGGUAAGCGGAAUUCCAUGUGUAGCGGUGAAAUGCGUAGAGAUUAGGAGGAACACCAGUGGCGAAGGCGGCUUUCUGGACGAAAACUGACGCUGAGGCGCGAAAGCCAGGGGGGCGAACGGGAUUAGAUACCCGCGUAGUCCCUGUCUCUUAUAC
RNAcentral lists this ribosomal RNA (303 nucleotides) under uncultured bacterium. Its description in RNAcentral is "partial 16S ribosomal RNA". It matches the Rfam family "Bacterial small subunit ribosomal RNA", at positions 507 to 807 of the family's 1533-position model. The record is from RNAcentral.